GCUGGGCGUGGUGGCACACGCCUGUAAUCCCAGCUUCUUGGGAGGCUGAAGCAGGGGAAUCGCUUGAACCCAGGAGGCAGAGGUUGCAGUGAGCUGAGAUCAUGCCACUGCACUCCAGCCUGGGCAACAGAGCGAGACUCUGUCUCAA
This is an unclassified non-coding RNA of Pongo abelii (Sumatran orangutan), 148 nucleotides long. It matches the Rfam family "Metazoan signal recognition particle RNA". Rfam says of the family: The signal recognition particle (SRP) is a universally conserved ribonucleoprotein. It is involved in the co-translational targeting of proteins to membranes. The record is from Ensembl. NCBI's taxonomy places the organism in Eukaryota, Metazoa, Chordata, Mammalia, Primates, Hominidae.